CGGUGUUGGGCUGCGGGAGCUGCUGGUAUCACUGUGCUCCUGUUACACGUCACUGCUGGUGCUGGCGGGGGCCAGGCAUCAGUGUCACUGGUGCUGGUGUCCGUGCCUGUGUCCAGAGAUGUCCACGGUGUCGAGGGGACUCCCCCUGGAUGGCUUUACCCGCCCAGCGCCCAGCGUCCUGGCUUAAGCCCAUCUCGCAUUCUCUUUGUACAGGUGAGGAAACAAAACCAGAGCGGGGCCGCAUGGCUUGUCCAAGGUCACUCAGCGCGUGGGUGCGGCGCUGGGAGCGCGGCCCGGGCACCUGCUUCCCAGCUUGCCCUCCAUCCGCUUUCCACAGGGAGAUGGUUGACUCCCCGCCUGUCCAGCUGGUAUCUUAAUGAAACAUAUUUCAUGGAAAAUUGUGGAUGGAUGACUUGGGCAUUCUUUCCAGAAAAGCUGUCAGUUCAGAUUAGGCUCGGAGGGGUGACCGCACAGUUGGUGGGUGUCACUUAGAAAUGAUAAUAAUGUUGGCCUUUCCGAAGGCAUUCUUUAUGUGCAGAGAUGCAGAGGACGGGCCCUUCACAGCUGGGAUGGUGAUGUUUGUCACACGUCUCCUGCUCCGUCCGACCACGGAGAGAGCCCCGGGACCACAGAGUCGCACAGCAGUGCUGACCAGAGCCGUGGAUCCUGCUGUUUGUGGCCCCUUCGCCUCUCAAGGGUGACAGGCGCAUCUUGGAGUUCGAGCCGUGCUGAUGGGGCCGGAUCUAGUUCACUCGUAACCACCGUUGGGCCUCUUGUCGUGCGAACAACCAGUAUGGACACGUUUCCCCGGGCAGAGACCUUCUUUCCGCGUGCCACUUUUGCUCUGACGAAUAAGCCUCUGGGAACAAGCGUCGUGGUGAGCGAGCGCACGCCGUCGCCGGCAGGGAGCCACCCAGAGCGGAACCGUGCGGUCCUCGCGGGAGCUCGCGCCACCUCAGCCUCCGCAGGAGCUGCCAAAUUGCUCUCCAAAGUGGCUCCGACAAUUUACCGCCCGCUAGCGAUGGUGAGAGUUCCCGUCUCUCCGCGUUCUCGCCAACGUUUCGUGUUAUCAGACGCAUCAGCAUUUGCCAGGUGAUGGGUGUGAAACGGUGCAUCGUUAAGGCUUUAUUUUGCUUUUUCCUGAUUCUGGGUGUGGAUGAGCACCCCCUCACCCCGGCCCCCGCCGUGCCUCACUGGCCUCUUGGGUCUCCUCGCCCGAGAGCUGCCUGGUUGCGCACUGGCGUUCUCGUCCUCUGUCCAUUUUCCUCUUGGGUCGUUUGGUUUCUUCUGAUUUGUGUGUUUAUUGUAUAGUCACCACCGAGAUGCGAUACAAACAUUCUCUUGUGCUUUUUAAAAACGUUUUACAGUUUUGCAUUUCACAUAUAGGUCUUUACUCCAUCUGGAACUUAUUUUUGUGUUUGCGAUGAGGUAGACAUCUAAUUUUAUCUCUUUAGUCAUUUACCCUGUACUGAUUGUGGCACGCACGGGGACUGGGGUUUUUAACAUGGCUUCACGGGCUCCGUGAACCCCGAGGAUCGUGACAGUCAUAAGCAAGGUUGUGUGCCCGUGUCUGCACAUUUUUCUGAGGAGGGUGCAUAGACCUCACCUGAUUCUCUAAGCCGUCAGGGACCCCAGAUAAUUCGAACAGCCCUGCUCGCUGCCCAGAGCCACUCUGUGAGGGGGUGAAGGCAGGGGCAAGGUUGUGGAUCUUUCUUCUCUGAGGAUCCUUCUUCUGACACUGUCCUUCUUGGGUUUGUUCACUUUUGGCAUUCACCUGGAGCCGUUUGGCAUGCCUGGGCCUCUCCCGUUAGGGAGGAUGACACCCCACCCCACCCCCCACCGAAGAACCAGGAGGGACGUGGGUACGAGACGAUGGUCCGGGAGAAGCCGGCCCAGCCAAGUCCAGGGCUCUUUCCUCCCAUCCAAGUACUAACCAGGCCCGACCCUGCUUAGCUUCCGAGAUCAGACGAGAUCGGGCGCGUUCAGGGUGGUAUGGCCGUAGACUAGGGCUCUUUCCUAUCAGACUUGGACUCCCUGGGCCGCCCUGUCCUGGUGGGGGCAGGAAUGAGCACACGGGGAGGGAGCCGGGGUGAGAG
This 2096-nucleotide long non-coding RNA is filed under the name Felis catus (domestic cat). RNAcentral describes it as "lncRNA (ENSFCAG00000043348.2)". The record is from RNAcentral. Lineage: Eukaryota; Metazoa; Chordata; Mammalia; Carnivora; Felidae.